GAAGUACUCUGUCUGUAACUAUGAUUUGUUAUUAUUUUUGUCCUAGGGAGACUGAGGACAAUUUCCACAUUACCGGCAUUGGGUUUCAUUGAGGGUGUCCCAGCAGCAUAUCAUCACAUACACAGGGCUUCAUCUGCUGAAUAAUCUCUGUGAGUUAUGCAUCGAUCUGCAUUCUCUCCUUACUGUCAGAUGGAAAAUAGCUAAAUUCUUACAAACGGGGUUUCUUGCAACUCCCUGAAGGCAAUGGGACUCCCAAUCAACAAGCUACAAAUUCUCUUGAGAAUGAAGCCUGAGGUUAGUUUCUGAAAUCAAAUGGGCACACAGUAUUUCCACUUGCUUCCUUUG
RNAcentral lists this long non-coding RNA (345 nucleotides) under Monodelphis domestica (gray short-tailed opossum). Its description in RNAcentral is "lncRNA (ENSMODG00000031040.2)". The record is from RNAcentral. Lineage: Eukaryota; Metazoa; Chordata; Mammalia; Didelphimorphia; Didelphidae.